UUAAGCGACUAAGCGUACACGGUGGAUGCCCUGGCAGUCAGAGGCGAUGAAGGACGUGCUAAUCUGCGAUAAGCGUCGGUAAGGUGAUAUGAACCGUUAUAACCGGCGAUUUCCGAAUGGGGAAACCCAGUGUGUUUCGACACACUAUCAUUAACUGAAUCCAUAGGUUAAUGAGGCGAACCGGGGGAACUGAAACAUCUAAGUACCCCGAGGAAAAGAAAUCAACCGAGAUUCCCCCAGUAGCGGCGAGCGAACGGGGAGGAGCCCAGAGCCUGAAUCAGUGUGUGUGUUAGUGGAAGCGUCUGGAAAGGCGCGCGAUACAGGGUGACAGCCCCGUACACAAAAAUGCACAUGCUGUGAGCUCGAUGAGUAGGGCGGGACACGUGGUAUCCUGUCUGAAUAUGGGGGGACCAUCCUCCAAGGCUAAAUACUCCUGACUGACCGAUAGUGAACCAGUACCGUGAGGGAAAGGCGAAAAGAACCCCGGCGAGGGGAGUGAAAAAGAACCUGAAACCGUGUACGUACAAGCAGUGGGAGCACGCUUAGGCGUGUGACUGCGUACCUUUUGUAUAAUGGGUCAGCGACUUAUAUUCUGUAGCAAGGUUAACCGAAUAGGGGAGCCGAAGGGAAACCGAGUCUUAACUGGGCGUUAAGUUGCAGGGUAUAGACCCGAAACCCGGUGAUCUAGCCAUGGGCAGGUUGAAGGUUGGGUAACACUAACUGGAGGACCGAACCGACUAAUGUUGAAAAAUUAGCGGAUGACUUGUGGCUGGGGGUGAAAGGCCAAUCAAACCGGGAGAUAGCUGGUUCUCCCCGAAAGCUAUUUAGGUAGCGCCUCGUGAAUUCAUCUCCGGGGGUAGAGCACUGUUUCGGCAAGGGGGUCAUCCCGACUUACCAACCCGAUGCAAACUGCGAAUACCGGAGAAUGUUAUCACGGGAGACACACGGCGGGUGCUAACGUCCGUCGUGAAGAGGGAAACAACCCAGACCGCCAGCUAAGGUCCCAAAGUCAUGGUUAAGUGGGAAACGAUGUGGGAAGGCCCAGACAGCCAGGAUGUUGGCUUAGAAGCAGCCAUCAUUUAAAGAAAGCGUAAUAGCUCACUGGUCGAGUCGGCCUGCGCGGAAGAUGUAACGGGGCUAAACCAUGCACCGAAGCUGCGGCAGCGACGCUUAUGCGUUGUUGGGUAGGGGAGCGUUCUGUAAGCCUGUGAAGGUGUGCUGUGAGGCAUGCUGGAGGUAUCAGAAGUGCGAAUGCUGACAUAAGUAACGAUAAAGCGGGUGAAAAGCCCGCUCGCCGGAAGACCAAGGGUUCCUGUCCAACGUUAAUCGGGGCAGGGUGAGUCGACCCCUAAGGCGAGGCCGAAAGGCGUAGUCGAUGGGAAACAGGUUAAUAUUCCUGUACUUGGUGUUACUGCGAAGGGGGGACGGAGAAGGCUAUGUUGGCCGGGCGACGGUUGUCCCGGUUUAAGCGUGUAGGCUGGUUUUCCAGGCAAAUCCGGAAAAUCAAGGCUGAGGCGUGAUGACGAGGCACUACGGUGCUGAAGCAACAAAUGCCCUGCUUCCAGGAAAAGCCUCUAAGCAUCAGGUAACAUCAAAUCGUACCCCAAACCGACACAGGUGGUCAGGUAGAGAAUACCAAGGCGCUUGAGAGAACUCGGGUGAAGGAACUAGGCAAAAUGGUGCCGUAACUUCGGGAGAAGGCACGCUGAUAUGUAGGUGAAGCGACUUGCUCGUGGAGCUGAAAUCAGUCGAAGAUACCAGCUGGCUGCAACUGUUUAUUAAAAACACAGCACUGUGCAAACACGAAAGUGGACGUAUACGGUGUGACGCCUGCCCGGUGCCGGAAGGUUAAUUGAUGGGGUCAGCGCAAGCGAAGCUCUUGAUCGAAGCCCCGGUAAACGGCGGCCGUAACUAUAACGGUCCUAAGGUAGCGAAAUUCCUUGUCGGGUAAGUUCCGACCUGCACGAAUGGCGUAAUGAUGGCCAGGCUGUCUCCACCCGAGACUCAGUGAAAUUGAACUCGCUGUGAAGAUGCAGUGUACCCGCGGCAAGACGGAAAGACCCCGUGAACCUUUACUAUAGCUUGACACUGAACAUUGAGCCUUGAUGUGUAGGAUAGGUGGGAGGCUUUGAAGUGUGGACGCCAGUCUGCAUGGAGCCGACCUUGAAAUACCACCCUUUAAUGUUUGAUGUUCUAACGUUGACCCGUGAUCCGGGUUGCGGACAGUGUCUGGUGGGUAGUUUGACUGGGGCGGUCUCCUCCUAAAGAGUAACGGAGGAGCACGAAGGUUGGCUAAUCCUGGUCGGACAUCAGGAGGUUAGUGCAAUGGCAUAAGCCAGCUUGACUGCGAGCGUGACGGCGCGAGCAGGUGCGAAAGCAGGUCAUAGUGAUCCGGUGGUUCUGAAUGGAAGGGCCAUCGCUCAACGGAUAAAAGGUACUCCGGGGAUAACAGGCUGAUACCGCCCAAGAGUUCAUAUCGACGGCGGUGUUUGGCACCUCGAUGUCGGCUCAUCACAUCCUGGGGCUGAAGUAGGUCCCAAGGGUAUGGCUGUUCGCCAUUUAAAGUGGUACGCGAGCUGGGUUUAGAACGUCGUGAGACAGUUCGGUCCCUAUCUGCCGUGGGCGCUGGAGAACUGAGGGGGGCUGCUCCUAGUACGAGAGGACCGGAGUGGACGCAUCACUGGUGUUCGGGUUGUCAUGCCAAUGGCACUGCCCGGUAGCUAAAUGCGGAAGAGAUAAGUGCUGAAAGCAUCUAAGCACGAAACUUGCCCCGAGAUGAGUUCUCCCUGACCCUUUAAGGGUCCUGAAGGAACGUUGAAGACGACGACGUUGAUAGGCCGGGUGUGUAAGCGCAGCGAUGCGUUGAGCUAACCGGUACUAAUGAACCGUGAGGCUUAACCUU
Molecule: ribosomal RNA, 2902 nt
Filed under: Escherichia coli
Lineage: Bacteria; Pseudomonadati; Pseudomonadota; Gammaproteobacteria; Enterobacterales; Enterobacteriaceae
Description: bacterial LSU rRNA
Rfam family: Bacterial large subunit ribosomal RNA
Source: RNAcentral